AUGGAUUCUGCACCUGGUAGUAGGCUGAGAAAGUUGGUAUUGACGGCGGAUGCAUCCAUGUGCAAAUCUCCUGGCAUUGAGCGGACGGAUCCAAGGGAAUUGGGGCGGCCAGCCAGCUGGCAGUGCACGCAUGGGCGAUCACGACGCAACAAAGUUCUGGGUUUUAAACUGGGAGCGGACGGACGUGGCCCAAGGGAGAACAUGGGUGGGGAGCGUGCGGACCGUCGACGAAAGAGAACAACACUGGGUUUGAUAAUUACUCAACAAAUCAGAGAUCGAUCUCUUUUUUUAGAUGCAAAUAUUUUUUAA
RNAcentral lists this ribosomal RNA (309 nucleotides) under Triticum aestivum (bread wheat). RNAcentral's name for it is "partial small subunit ribosomal RNA". Lineage: Eukaryota; Viridiplantae; Streptophyta; Magnoliopsida; Poales; Poaceae. The record is from RNAcentral.